CCUCCUUCAAAAUGGUCAGGGAAAAAACUCUAAGUUGUUAACAUGCAUUUUUUUUUCAGCAUCCCAAGCCUAUAGCUUGGAUGGAGCAAUAGUAGGUGUGGAAUUACCAUCAUUUUUCCUAGGGUGCCCCUGGGCUCAGGCCACCUGUACAGCACCUGCAGACAAAUUGCUGGAGGUCAUUAGCCUGAAGGCCUCCAUCUGCUGUCAGCUUCCCCUCCUCAUUUAUAUCAGAUCCUGAGCUCUGGGAGAGGGAUACUGCUGGGCAUUUUGCUCAAAUGCAGGGUUCUUAUGUUUUUCUCUGGAGUGGUAUUGAGGAUUUGCCUAUGCUUCAGCUGCUGCUGUUUGCAAGAUGGGCAGGAGCCCCAGGAAUGCUACCAGCAAAUGCUGCAUCUCAGGUAACACUGAAGUGCUGAUAUUCUGAAUGCUCCCUUGUUUUUUUACUGAGCUACACUUGCUGUAUUCUGUGGUCAGCCCUUAAAUCUGGUCAGUUCCCACCUGUGACACCAUGCACAGAACAUAAGUAUGUCAAAAUAGAGGGAGUAAAGUAGUGUGAUGUCAAGAGUCAGCAAAGGCUGGGCCUCAGGGGCUGGUUACUGACUAGGGCUUGUUGCUUUGAUCUUGCUGUGCUAUGUGCUGUGGGACCUCUUUUAGGAGAGCAGCAUCACAGAGAUGCUGAGAAAUACAGCUGCUCCCCUCUCCAUGCAAAUCCAGCUCGCUGCAUUAGAAAGCAAGAAGUGAAAUUGGGAAGCCAGCUGCCUGGGGUCACUGUGCUGCUGAGCCAGCAUGCAGCUGAACCAGUGUGCUGCUGUGUUUUGACAUGUCCUCAUGUGCAGAGCAUCAGCCAGGAUCACUCAGGGCAUGUGUCCUCCCACCAUGAUGGUCACAUCAUGAAGCUGUCCAAACCCAUGGAAAAGGAGCAUCAGCCUUUGGUCCAUGGUUGUUGUUAAUGGCUAGAAAUGUUCAAUCUAGCAAAGUGAGGUUGUCAAGAGACCCGGGCAGGGAGGUCAUCCCUCACAGCAUCAGAGCAGUUGGUGACAGUCAUCAGAAAUAUGCAAUCCCCUUCUGAGCGUCUCAUGGAGGAACUCAUCUCUCAGGCUUGUUUGAGUGCCUGUCCCAUCACAACAGGCCUAAACUGGCAGCUUUCUGUUUCUCACACUUCUGCAGCUCUCGGUAGGAGUGUCCACAUCCAGUGAGCUAGGGAAAUAGCACCAGGAAUUAUGUACGUUUUCUUAGUCAGUAGUGAAAAAUAUUCCCUGAUGGACCCUCAGAUUUCUAGAGCUGCAUUAAGACAAGGCUGAUCGGCCACUGCUGGAACAGCAGUGAACCGCAGGAUUUCACUCAGGCUAUUUGUAAUGGUGAAGCACUGCAGGCUAAACAUCGUAACAAGUGACAUCGUGCAAAAGCGUGUCUUUAACUAACUGUUAGU
Molecule: long non-coding RNA, 1426 nt
Filed under: Phasianus colchicus (ring-necked pheasant)
Lineage: Eukaryota; Metazoa; Chordata; Aves; Galliformes; Phasianidae
Description: lncRNA (ENSPCLG00000018426.1)
Source: RNAcentral